UACGGGGGGGGCAAGCGUUGUUCGGAAUUACUGGGCGUAAAGGGCUCGUAGGCGGCCAACUAAGUCAGACGUGAAAUCCCUCGGCUUAACCGGGGAACUGCAUCUGAUACUGGAUGGCUUGAGAUUGGGAGAGGGAUGCGGAAUUCCAGGUGUAGCGGUGAAAUGCGUAGAUAUCCGGAGGAACACCGGUGGCGAAGGCGGCUUCCUGGACCGGCAUUGACGCUGAGGCGCGAAAGCUAGGGGAGCAAACGGG
Molecule: ribosomal RNA, 253 nt
Filed under: uncultured bacterium
Lineage: Bacteria
Description: partial 16S ribosomal RNA
Rfam family: Bacterial small subunit ribosomal RNA
Source: RNAcentral